UGGACCUCAGAUCAGGCAAGAUUACCCGCUGAGUUUAAGCAUAUCACUAAG
RNAcentral lists this ribosomal RNA (51 nucleotides) under Lophocolea heterophylla. RNAcentral's name for it is "partial 28S ribosomal RNA". The record is from RNAcentral. Lineage: Eukaryota; Viridiplantae; Streptophyta; Jungermanniopsida; Jungermanniales; Lophocoleaceae. RNAcentral also lists the same sequence under 1 other name.